Long non-coding RNA from Eriocheir sinensis (Chinese mitten crab), 2830 nucleotides. RefSeq lists it as uncharacterized. Lineage: Eukaryota; Metazoa; Arthropoda; Malacostraca; Decapoda; Varunidae. The transcript is spliced from 4 exons. The record is from RefSeq and is a predicted model, not a curated record.
GCCCUGCCUCGUUCAGUCCUUCGCGAAACGUCCACCAAACAGUUUGCUUCCGUCCUCAACGUGGUCCUCCGAUCCUUCUAUUUCCUCGAAGUUCAAAAGUUGACAAGUAUGAGAAGAAUUUUGACCCUCCUGAUGAUGAUGAUGGUGGUGAUGGCGACGCUUCCUAACACAGGUGCCAUCGACUGUUACGCCUGCGAGGGUUACAAUUCCGCCGCCGCCGAGGACACCGCCUCCAACAACAAGUACUGCCCACAAGAGAGCUUCGAUUCUAGCCGAGUUGGAGCCUCUCGGGGAGGGAUCUGUUUUGCUGAAGUCCGCCAGUAUUACGGUCGCAGGGUUACUAAGCGGGGCAUCGGUCUCGGAACCAGGAUGACCCGCGACGCCUCCACCACCACCGUCACAUUCUCCGGCUACUACUGCAACACCAGCCUCUGCAACGCCAUGGACCCUGCCGCCCCCCCCUUCCCCGCCGCCUCGUCCUCCUGUCUCACGCCUCAGUUCCUAGUACUCGUGCCCCUUAUCAUGGCCCUCGGUCACUGCCUGCUGUAAAGGGCCCUCAGAACCUCGAUCCCUUUUUGUGUCUUAUUGUGCUAGGAAGAUGAUUUUGUUUUCUCAUUUUGUAUUCGUCCUUGUCCUCCGCCGCCUCCUCCUACGUAUUAAUGGUGAUACGAUUUAUUUUCCGUCUCUUACUCUAAGGCGCCACCAUUCAUUAUUUCCUAAUCAAUUCUUGCCCUCUUGGCACUGGAAAGGAAGGUAAUUUUACGAGCAAUCUUUUGAUAUUCUUAAGGAUGCUCUACGUGCAGCACAAGCGGAGAUAUAAGCAGGUAAAGAUUUCACCCCCCUCGUGCAACUCUACGGGGCUCACCUACCAUAUUUCCCCAGCGAGGCCUUACACGAAAAAGUUUGAAUAUUGAAAAAUCGUUAUUCCUCCAGCUUAAUGAGAGAGGUUGAUAUACGUGAAGAAAAAAAUACUAGAAUUUCUGGUGCUAUCAGAAUUGCAAUAAGCCUAAAACUGACGGAGUUAUGAACGGUUUUGUGAGAGCCUCCGAAAAUUUUCUAGGCCUAUAACUCUUGAAGCAAUGCGUGUUGCAAUAUGACCGUUUAGUAACUGGUAGAGAAAAUUCCGAGGAACACGCUGGUGCUUUCAGAACUACGCUACCACUAAUGGUUAUAGAGAUAUAUCGAUUUGAAAUUUCGCACUUUUUCGACAUUUGUGGCAACGUCACUCGUUUAUUAUCAAUCCUUUCUUCUUCGUCGAAAGAUAAUAAAAGUGUUAUAUUUUGACGAGGAAUGCAACACUGGUCUCGGAUCUGCGUUACCACCUUUAGUUUCGGAGAGAGCAUGUCAUAUUUUAACCGCCUGUCACGCCUUAACUACUGCAGAUAUGUUUAUGAGAUUAAAUAUCUCGAGGUGACCCGAAACGACCUAUAUUUUGGCGUUAUCAGAUUUAAGAUUUGACGCGUAUUUCCAAAGAUAGCUUUUUUUGCUUAUUUUGCCUGUGUAUUUUUGACCAACUGAUAUCUGAUGUAAAAUUUGACGGAGAAUAAGGUGGCGUCGUCAAAAUGGAGAUAACUUUAAUAGUUAUCAAGAUAUCAUAGCUAAGGCGUUGAUCGGAAUGCUUUGAUUCUGCAUCGAUUCCUGCAUCCAUGUCUAAAUAAUGUCUUAAUAUCGGGCAUAAUUUUGAGAGGGCACAUCACGAGGAAUCCAUUUCUGGUCUUGGUUUUGCGCUAGCUCAAUUAUUAAAGACGUUAUCAGCUAUAUUCUGAGAAAUGGUCGUAACCCUCAAUUUUAUCCUCUCAUUUUUUAUCAUGUUCGUUGCACUCAGCUGGUGUAGAAUUUGACGCUGAACAUUUUGGUGCUUGUUAGAAUCCGAUCAGUAGAGUAUUAACGGAGCUAUGAACGAUUUUGUGUUUCCACCGUUAUGAGACUCCGGUGUUUACGGCCAAAAUUUCACCUCCUCUAAAACGAUCUUUUUUUAAAUAUGCAACUUUCGUUAUUCUUGCCUCCAGCUUGAUCAGAGAGGUUCAUAGACGUGAAGAAAACAAUAUUAGAAAUUCUGGUGCUAUUAGAAUUGCGCUAGGCCUAGAAUUGACGGAGAUAUCCAUGGCUUAAAAAGACGUGCUGAAAUUUUGCCGGCUUAUAACUGCCUUAUUACAGUAAAUUUUUGUAUGCCCGAUUGGCUCCUGGGAGAACCAGUUACGGGGAACACGCUGGUGCCUUCAGAAUGACGUUACGACUAAUAGUUAUGGAGUUAUUAUGAUAUGUUUUUCGCGUUUUUUUUUUAAAUUUGAGCCAACGCCCUUCCUUUAUUAUCUAUCAUUUCUGCUUCGUGGAUGGAUAAUGAAAGUGUUAGAAUUUAACGAGGAACGCAAUGCUGGUCUCGGAUCUGCGCUACCACCUUUAGUUUCGGAGAUAACAUGUCAUUUAUUUAACCGCCUGUCACCCCUUUACUAGUGAAGAUACGUUUAUGGAAAUAAGUAUCGCGAGGUGAACCGAGACGAGCUAUAAUUUGAUGCUUUCAGAUUUAACUUUGGACGUGUUUGUUUGUUUUUUAUUUCUUGAUAUUUCUUGAUGAUCAACUGAUACAAAGUGUAGAGUUUGCCGGAGAACACGAUGGUGCUGUCAGAAUCAAGCUAGCUUUUUUCGUUAUUGAGAUAUACCGGUCCAAAGGUCGGUCCUAACGGUUUUCGCCUGCGCCUCUUGCUGCGUCCAUGUUUUCCUCGUGUUCGUGGGGCUCCCAGGUUGUAGCAUUCGACGCUGAACAUUUUGGUCUUUACUAGAAUCCGAUCGGUUGAGUAUUGACGGAGUUAUCAACGAUUUUGUGUUUAGC